RNAcentral lists this ribosomal RNA (322 nucleotides) under Meriderma aggregatum. Its description in RNAcentral is "bacterial SSU rRNA". It matches the Rfam family "Eukaryotic small subunit ribosomal RNA", at positions 80 to 343 of the family's 1831-position model. The record is from RNAcentral. Lineage: Eukaryota; Evosea; Eumycetozoa; Stemonitida; Stemonitidae.
UCUGAAUCUGCGUACGGCUCCGCACACCAGUUGUAAACCAAAGCAAGCAAGCCUGACCCCGAGGCCUUCACAGGUCAAAGGGCCAGGUUACAAGGAUAACCCUGGUAAUUCUGAGGCUAAUACGUGACACGAACCUGUCGACUGGGGGCUUGCCCCUGGGAAGCGGGGGAUGUGCGACUAUCGGGCCAAAAACAACCGGAAAGAGCGCACGUUCAGACCACUCCAAAAAAGGUCUGCAGGAUCCCUCACGGGGUUUUGCGGAUCUUGUGGCUCUUGCACUGUGCUUCUGACCUAUCAACUAGACGGCAGCUUAAGGGACAUG